This 578-nucleotide small RNA is filed under the name Pan troglodytes (chimpanzee). RNAcentral describes it as "retained intron". Lineage: Eukaryota; Metazoa; Chordata; Mammalia; Primates; Hominidae. The record is from RNAcentral.
GCACACAUGGAUAUGUAUUUUGAGAAAAUUGAAAUUUAUCCUUUUUAAGAGGUCACUUCAUUGAGAUAAAAACAAAGAUGUUCUUCAUUAAACAUUAUUUAUAAUUACGAAUUAUUUUCUAUUUUGACCAAGGAAGUCUAAAUAAUGAAUUGGUUUUUAUCAUGUGAUGAACUGAGAAACAUCUUUGAAAUUUCCCUUUUUCUUCCUAGAUGCCAAACUUGCCAGUAGGGAGAAGGGAAAGUUUUGCUUUAAGGCAAUAAGAUGUGAGAAAAAAGAAGCGGCCGCACAGUCCUCUGAAAAAUAUACCUUUGCAGAUAUCAUCUUUGGAAAUGAACAGAUAAUAAGUUCAGCAAGCCCAUGUGCAGACUUCUUUUAUCGAAGUUUAUCUUCUGAAUUGAAAAAACCACAAGCUCACUUGCCUGUGCAUACAGAAAAACAGUCAACAGAGGAUGCUGUGAGAUUGAUUAAAAAAUGCAGUGAGGUAGAUUUGAAUAUUGUCAUAUUAUGGAAGGCAUACGUUGUGGAAGACAGUAAACAGCUUAUUUUGGAAGGUCAACAUCAUGUUAUUCUUCGCACUA